AGUCCUGUGGUGAGUACCACAUUGAAUUGCAAAUUCAAAGAAGCAGCUUCAAUUCUGCCGGGACUU
Molecule: transfer RNA, 66 nt
Filed under: Mydaus javanensis (Sunda stink badger)
Lineage: Eukaryota; Metazoa; Chordata; Mammalia; Carnivora; Mephitidae
Description: tRNA-Cys
Rfam family: tRNA
About the family: Transfer RNA (tRNA) molecules are approximately 80 nucleotides in length. Their secondary structure includes four short double-helical elements and three loops (D, anti-codon, and T loops).
Source: RNAcentral